This is a long non-coding RNA of Tigriopus californicus, 281 nucleotides long. RefSeq lists it as uncharacterized. NCBI's taxonomy places the organism in Eukaryota, Metazoa, Arthropoda, Copepoda, Harpacticoida, Harpacticidae. The record is from RefSeq and is a predicted model, not a curated record. The transcript is spliced from 2 exons.
UCUGAACUCAAUCGAGACGGAAAUCAAUGAUUCUGAUGUGGACGCUGAUGACGAAGACGGCGAGGAUAUGGACGGGUCUGAAGACAGAUUAUUCCAUGGUGCUUGGUGUCGCUUGAAAUGUCUGCCCAAAUGUGUCGCCGCUCCCAAUGGCACGUGUACUUGUACCAAGAUGUUCCUUGGCAUCUUCCCCAUCUUUUCCAUUACCAUUCCUUGUGCAUAAUACCUUUUUCCUUGCCAUCAAGAUCAAUUUUCAUUGAACUAAUAAAUGCACAAAUUCGUGA